Aethalodelphis obliquidens (Pacific white-sided dolphin) is the source of this 685-nucleotide long non-coding RNA. RefSeq lists it as uncharacterized. NCBI's taxonomy places the organism in Eukaryota, Metazoa, Chordata, Mammalia, Artiodactyla, Delphinidae. The transcript has 4 exons. The record is from RefSeq and is a predicted model, not a curated record.
GGACUCUCAACCACUGCGCCACCAGGGAAGCCCCAUGUGUUUUUAAGAUGGAGAAGUCCUACAAUCUGCCAUCUGUGAGUUGGAGAACCAGGAGAGCCAUGGUGUAAUUCCAUCCAAGUUUGAAGGCUCAAGAACCAGAAGCACUGAUGUCCCAGCUCAAGCAGAGGCAGCAAAUUCACUCUUCCUCUACUGGGGCCCUCAAUGAAUUAGAUGAUGCCUACCCACAUUGCUGGAACUACAUACUUCGUCUAAGGGAAGAACUCUACAAGAAAGGGAAAUUAUGCCCAUAAAUUUGGUGAAAUGUAUCCAGCCAGGAGGUCUUUGGGAAUUCAUCCAUGAGGUUUUUCACUCACUUUCCUCAACACUGCUUAGAGCCAUUUAAGAAUGAUGAAGAAAACUGCAAUUCAUUGUGUGCCUCCGUACGACUGCCAAGUCUGAACAGCAUCAUCAACAGGCUUUUCUUCCUGAAGCUUUGGCUCAGCCAAUUCUAAGUCUCCUAAAGAUUACUUUUUACCCUCAGCCUCUAUCAAGGCAUUUUCACAAACCAAGACCAUUCUCUCUCUGAGAAGCAUUUUGAGAACAGCUGUUAAAGCAAUUUAAAAACUUCCCACCUCAUUUUAUCCUCAGUGCUUGGCACUUGAAAUAGCAAAUAGUUGAUAUUUGAUAAACAUUUUUGCUGAAUGAA